Molecule: long non-coding RNA, 296 nt
Organism: Mercenaria mercenaria
Lineage: Eukaryota; Metazoa; Mollusca; Bivalvia; Venerida; Veneridae
Exons: 3
Source: RefSeq, a predicted model, not a curated record
GAUUGCCCGCCUGGUGAGUUCUGCCUUCUAGCAGGAAAUUCAAAUAACCCUAACAGCCAGUUUAAAUGCAAACCCUGUGAUUGUGCUCUCUUGACUCAAGUUAUUUGGUUGAUCAGCUAGUAGGACCACUUGAUUGUAACUGUACAGGCUCCGGAUUCACUGGCGAAACAUGCCAUGAAGACAUUGACGAGUGUGCAACAAACACAGACAAUUGUGAUACGAAUGCAGCAUGCCAAAACACAAAUGGAAGUUUUACAUGCGCUUGUAACGCAGGUUGGACUGGCAAUGGAGUUACA